GGGCGGUUAGCUCAGGUGGCUAGAGCGCGUCGUUGACAUCGACGAGGUCACAGGUUCAAGUCCUGUACCGCCCACCA
RNAcentral lists this transfer RNA (77 nucleotides) under Chloroflexota bacterium. RNAcentral describes it as "tRNA-Val". It matches the Rfam family "tRNA". From Rfam's summary of the family: Transfer RNA (tRNA) molecules are approximately 80 nucleotides in length. Their secondary structure includes four short double-helical elements and three loops (D, anti-codon, and T loops). Further hydrogen bonds mediate the characteristic L-shaped molecular structure. tRNAs have two regions of fundamental functional importance: the anti-codon, which is responsible for specific mRNA codon recognition, and the 3' end, to which the tRNAs corresponding amino acid is attached (by aminoacyl-tRNA synthetases). tRNAs cope with the degeneracy of the genetic code in two manners: having more than one tRNA (with a specific anti-codon) for a particular amino acid; and 'wobble' base-pairing, i.e. permitting non-standard base-pairing at the 3rd anti-codon position. The record is from RNAcentral. RNAcentral also lists the same sequence under 1 other name. Lineage: Bacteria; Bacillati; Chloroflexota.